This 253-nucleotide ribosomal RNA is filed under the name uncultured bacterium. Its description in RNAcentral is "partial 16S ribosomal RNA". It matches the Rfam family "Bacterial small subunit ribosomal RNA", at positions 524 to 776 of the family's 1533-position model. The record is from RNAcentral.
UACGGAGGGUGCAAGCGUUAUCCGGAUUCACUGGGUUUAAAGGGUGCGUAGGUGGGCAGGUAAGUCAGUGGUGAAAUCUCCGGGCUUAACCCGGAAACUGCCGUUGAUACUAUCUGUCUUGAAUAUCGUGGAGGUAAGCGGAAUAUGUCAUGUAGCGGUGAAAUGCUUAGAUAUGACAUAGAACACCCAUUGCGAAGGCAGCUUACUACACGAUCAUUGACGCUGAGGCACGAAAGCGUGGGGAGCAAACAGG